This 59-nucleotide ribosomal RNA is filed under the name Metarhizium anisopliae. Its description in RNAcentral is "partial 28S ribosomal RNA". It matches the Rfam family "Eukaryotic large subunit ribosomal RNA", at positions 1 to 58 of the family's 3401-position model. The record is from RNAcentral. Lineage: Eukaryota; Fungi; Ascomycota; Sordariomycetes; Hypocreales; Clavicipitaceae. RNAcentral also lists the same sequence under 12 other names.
UUGACCUCGAAUCAGGUAGGACUACCCGCUGAACUUAAGCAUAUCAAUAAGCGGAGGAA